RNAcentral lists this transfer RNA (72 nucleotides) under Dipodomys ordii (Ord's kangaroo rat). It matches the Rfam family "tRNA". Rfam says of the family: Transfer RNA (tRNA) molecules are approximately 80 nucleotides in length. Their secondary structure includes four short double-helical elements and three loops (D, anti-codon, and T loops). Lineage: Eukaryota; Metazoa; Chordata; Mammalia; Rodentia; Heteromyidae. The record is from Rfam by way of RNAcentral.
GGAAAUGUGGCUUAGUGGUAGAGUGCUUGCCUAACAUGCAUGAAGUCUUGGGUUUGAUUCCUCAUAAAUACA